ACUCGAGUGGCGAACGGGUGAGUAACACGUGGGUGAUCUGCCCUGCACUUCGGGAUAAGCUUGGGAAACUGGGUCUAAUACCGGAUAGGAGCCAUCUUUAGUGUGGUGGUUGGAAAGUUUUUCGGUGUAGGAUGAGCUCGCGGCCUAUCAGCUUGUUGGUGGGGUAAUGGCCUACCAAGGCGGCGACGGGUAGCCGGCCUGAGAGGGUGACCGGCCGCAUUGGGACUGAGAUACGGCCCAG
This 241-nucleotide ribosomal RNA is filed under the name uncultured Actinomycetales bacterium. Its description in RNAcentral is "partial 16S ribosomal RNA". It matches the Rfam family "Bacterial small subunit ribosomal RNA", at positions 89 to 334 of the family's 1533-position model. The record is from RNAcentral. Lineage: Bacteria; Bacillati; Actinomycetota; Actinomycetes; Actinomycetales.